Gasterosteus aculeatus aculeatus (three-spined stickleback) is the source of this 353-nucleotide long non-coding RNA. The record is from Ensembl. Lineage: Eukaryota; Metazoa; Chordata; Actinopteri; Perciformes; Gasterosteidae.
CGAGUUUUAAGGAUAAAUGGACCUCAAGCUGUGCAGACACAGCAUGAGCACACUUAAUCUCCUCAAGUGGAGAGUGUCAGUCAACAGUGCCGGGACAGAUAAGGUGUGCUGGAAUGCCUUCUCGCUAAAUGUUUGGAGAGACUCGACUGACUGACAGAAGUAGGUCUGUGUGAGAGAAGCUCUCUCCUUCCUCUGGCUCUUGCCCUGGUUAGAUCUCCUCCGCAACAUCUCUUCCUCCCAGUGCUGGAGAGUGUUUGCAGCCUCUCUGCUCUGAGUGAGAGUCAUCAAAUGGAGAUUAAAGACGCUUCUGUUUCCACUGACAAGCGCACACACACACACACACACACACACAC